This 253-nucleotide ribosomal RNA is filed under the name uncultured bacterium. Its description in RNAcentral is "partial 16S ribosomal RNA". It matches the Rfam family "Bacterial small subunit ribosomal RNA", at positions 524 to 776 of the family's 1533-position model. The record is from RNAcentral.
UACAGAGGUCUCAAGCGUUGUUCGGAUUCAUUGGGCGUAAAGGGUGCGUAGGUGGCGGGGCAAGUCAGAUGUGAAAUCCCGGGGCUCAACCCCGGAACUGCAUUUGAUACUGCCUUGCUCGAGUACUGGAGAGGAGACUGGAAUUUACGGUGUAGCAGUGAAAUGCGUAGAUAUCGUAAGGAAGACCAGUGGCGAAGGCGAGUCUCUGGACAGUUACUGACACUGAGGCACGAAGGCCAGGGGAGCAAACGGG